RNAcentral lists this ribosomal RNA (408 nucleotides) under uncultured bacterium. Its description in RNAcentral is "bacterial SSU rRNA". It matches the Rfam family "Bacterial small subunit ribosomal RNA", at positions 355 to 775 of the family's 1533-position model. The record is from RNAcentral.
UAGGGAAUCUUGCGCAAUGGGCGAAAGCCUGACGCAGCGACGCCGCGUGGGGGAUGAAGGCUCUUGGGUCGUAAACCCCUUUCGGCAGGGAAGAAGCGAAAGUGACGGUACCUGCAGAAGAAGCCCCGGCCAACUACGUGCCAGCAGCCGCGGUAACACGUAGGGGGCGAGCGUUGUCCGGAUUCAUUGGGCGUAAAGGGCGCGCAGGCGGCCCGGAAAGUCGGAUGUGAAAACUCGGGGCUCAACCCCGAGCGUGCACCCGAUACUGCCGGGCUUGAGGCAGGUAGGGGAGAUCGGAAUUCCUGGUGUAGCGGUGAAAUGCGCAGAUAUCAGGAGGAACACCGGUGGCGAAGGCGGAUCUCUGGGCCUGUCCUGACGCUGAGGCGCGAAAGCUAGGGGAGCGAACAG